This 272-nucleotide ribosomal RNA is filed under the name uncultured Piloderma. RNAcentral describes it as "partial 28S ribosomal RNA". It matches the Rfam family "Eukaryotic large subunit ribosomal RNA", at positions 1 to 262 of the family's 3401-position model. Lineage: Eukaryota; Fungi; Basidiomycota; Agaricomycetes; Atheliales; Atheliaceae. The record is from RNAcentral.
UUGACCUCAAAUCAGGUAGGACUACCCGCUGAACUUAAGCAUAUCAAUAAGCGGAGGAAAAGAAACUAACAAGGAUUCCCCUAGUAACUGCGAGUGAAGCGGGAAAAGCUCAAAUUUAAAAUCUGGCGGUCUUGCGGCCGUCCGAGUUGUAAUCUGGAGAAGCGUUUAUCCGCGUCGGACCGUGUACAAGUCUUCUGGAAGGGAGCGUCGUAGAGGGUGAGAAUCCCGUCUUUGACACGGACAACCGGUGCUUUUGUGAUGCGCUCUCGAAG